This 1125-nucleotide ribosomal RNA is filed under the name Triticum aestivum (bread wheat). Its description in RNAcentral is "partial small subunit ribosomal RNA". The record is from RNAcentral. Lineage: Eukaryota; Viridiplantae; Streptophyta; Magnoliopsida; Poales; Poaceae.
AUGGCGAUUCCCCUCGUGCUCGUCCUGCUCCCGCUCGGCCUCCUCUUCCUCCUCUCCGGCCUCGUCGUCAACACUGUCCAGGCCGUAUUGUUCUUGACGAUAAGGCCAUUCUCGAAGCGAUUGUACCGGCAGAUCAACGUAUUCCUGGCCGAGUUGUUGUGGCUUCAGCUGAUCUGGCUUGUGGACUGGUGGGCAGGUAUUAAGGUACAGGUGUAUGCGGAUCCAGCAACUUGGAAACUAAUGGGCAAAGAGCACGCCCUUCUAAUAUCCAAUCAUCGAAGUGACAUUGAUUGGCUGGUUGGAUGGAUUUUAGCACAGCGUUCAGGAUGCCUUGGAAGCGCAAUAGCUAUAAUGAAGAAAUCCUCAAAGUUCCUUCCAGUUAUUGGUUGGUCCAUGUGGUUUGCAGAAUACCUCUUUUUGGAGAGAAGCUGGGCAAAGGAUGAAAAAACACUCAAAUCGGGUCUUCAAAGGUUGAAAGACUUCCCCAGAUCAUUUUGGCUUGCCCUUUUUGUUGAGGGUACAAGAUUUACUCCAGCAAAACUUUUAGCAGCUCAAGAAUAUGCAAUCUCACAGGGUUUGACAGCGCCUAGGAAUGUGCUGAUUCCACGAACAAAGGGAUUUGUAUCAGCUGUAAGUAUUAUGCGUGACUUUGUCCCAGCUAUCUAUGAUACAACAGUGAUUAUUCCAGAAGAUUCGCCUAAACCAACAAUGCUGCGUAUUCUUCAGGGACAAUCAUCAGUUGUACAUGUCCGCAUAAAACGCCAUUCAAUGAGGGAUAUGCCUAACUCGGAUGAGGAUGUUUCAAAAUGGUGCAAAGACAUAUUUGUAGCAAAGGACGCGUUAUUGGACAAACAUAUAGCAACUGGUACUUUUGAUGAGGAAAUUAUACCAAUUGGUCGUCCAGUGAAAUCUUUGAUGGUGGUCCUGUCUUGGUCAUGUCUCCUCCUAUAUGGUGCUCAUAGAUUCUUACAGUGGACCCAGCUCUUGUCGACGUGGAAAGGAGUGAUCCUCUUUGCUUCUGGAUUGGCAAUGGUGACCGCCGUUAUGCAUGUAUUCAUCAUGUUCUCGCAGGCCGAGCGCUCAAGCUCCGCUAAAGCAGCAAGGGACCGAGUGAAGAAGGAUUGA